Non-coding RNA from Parasteatoda tepidariorum (common house spider), 792 nucleotides. Lineage: Eukaryota; Metazoa; Arthropoda; Arachnida; Araneae; Theridiidae. The record is from RefSeq and is a predicted model, not a curated record.
CUGACGAAGACAACAGGGGCAUACGGACAUGGGAGGGAGAACAAUUGCUUCUCGAUGAUUAAGCAGGAAAAUUGGUAUAAAACUGUGUAAAAUAAGUCGAAAUAUUUGUCAGAUUAAUAAUUAUUAUUGUUGAAUGCAACCUUUAAAUUUAAAGUAAAAUUCUUUCUUCCAUUUUAUUAGAUUCGACAACUUCACUUUCUGAUUCUUCAUCAAUUGAUAUACCAAGUCUAAGGAAAAACGAAGUAGACACAUCAACAAAAGAAAAAGACAUUCUUGCAAAUCUCCAAGAUCGUUUGCAUGAAGAGUUGAAACGCCGAGUCAGUCUGACUCUAGCAAAAAAAGUUCUCGCCGUUGCGUACAUAACUCCUGAUUCCUCCGCAGAAGAAGUGCAAUUUUGGUUGACUAGCAAAGGAUUUGCUUCCAGGACUCAACAAAAAUUCCAGAAUGUUCGAGGUGACGAAAUAUUCUCUCUGGAGAAGAAAGAGAUGGAAAAAGAAUUGGGUAAUGAAGAAGGCCUACGUCUAUUCAAUCAGAUCAUUAUACAAAAGAACAUUUGCGGGGUAAGUAAGAUACAUCAUUAGCAACAAUUCGUAAAAAAUGCGACCGCGCGCGAGUGCGUAACCCUAUAAAAAGACAGAAAAGAAUAAAAGAGAGAUUAGAAUAAUAAUAAAACUUUUUAUUUACCCCGCAUAAGAUGCAAGAACAUAGAACCCAUAAAAUUUGAAUAGAAUGGAAAUCUAUAUCAUAUAAAACGCUAAUACGUACGUAUGUCUCGUAUGUAUGAAUCAAUAA